Molecule: long non-coding RNA, 906 nt
Filed under: Olea europaea (common olive)
Lineage: Eukaryota; Viridiplantae; Streptophyta; Magnoliopsida; Lamiales; Oleaceae
Description: long non-coding RNA (OEUR_LNC003196)
Source: RNAcentral
CUGGAUCUUAUUGGUAAGUUGAUGGCUUGGCGUUGGAACUGGAUUUCAAAUGUCAGAAAAAUAGGACGCAAGCUGAAAAUUUAGAGGCACUGAUAUGCUUCCAUUUUUCCAUAUUAUUCAAGUCGUGUCUAAGAUAAAACUCAUAGUAUAAAGGAGUAGUUUUGAUGCUGCAUCUCUAAAAGUGGGACAUGAUUCCCUUCCAGUUCUGCCUUAAGCAAUACAUACAGAAUAAGUCGCAUGCUUCAUGUAUUGCAACCACAAUUCAAAUAAAAAUGUCAUGAAAAUCAAAUUAAAGUGCCUGAAUGCUUUUGGCUUAUUGCUGGCUUUGUAUUGACUACCUCAGGGAUUAAUUAUGCAUGCCAUAGCCGUCAGCACCUGUAGGAAAGCCAUACAAGAAUCAUCAAAUAAGGUCAUGUUUACUUGUCUGUUUGUAUGUAAAAUUUGUUGUAUAAAAUAUCUGUGCAUAUUGACGGUUAAUCUGGCAUCAAAACAUAUGCCCCAUGUCAUGCAGCAUUCAAUAUACUAAAAUGCGAAUCUAACUUAGUGGAGGAAUGCCUUGUCUCGGUGUGUGGAAGCGAUGGUGGAACUUGGAAUAGACAUAUACCAUACCUCAUGCAUUGACAUUCUCAACUUGGGAUCGCAGUCGAGACAUUGCUCUGCCAGACGAACCAUCCAAAACAACUGGUAAAGGUCAACAGAAUCUUGCACUGCAGGAUCUAUCAGUUCCAUGUACUUUUUCUCACUCAGGAUUGGUCUCGCCUGAGGAAAAAAACAGAGAUCCAUUGGGGCCCAAUGACUUGAAGAUAGAUUUCGUCCAAAGUAAAGAUUUUAGAUUAAGGAUCUUCAAAAUAAGAAUGCUGUAGUUAUUACCCAUCUCAAGAAGCUUUGCCCCUUUGUAUCUUCAAG